AGCGCUUGUGACCAGACUUGCGUCCGGUGAAUCACCCAGCUCUCGCGGCUGGGGCACUUCGCCGGCUCAGGCCAGCAUCAGCUCGCUGUCGGGGACAAAAGCUUCAGGAACGUAGCUCUCUUCGGGGAGUGUUAUAGCCUGUUGCAUAAUACCCUUCGGCGGGCUGAGGUACGCGCUCCGCAAGGAUGCUGGCAUAAUGGUCAUCAGCGACCCGUCUUGAAAACGGACCA
RNAcentral lists this ribosomal RNA (230 nucleotides) under Colletotrichum musae. RNAcentral's name for it is "partial 28S large subunit ribosomal RNA". The record is from RNAcentral. Lineage: Eukaryota; Fungi; Ascomycota; Sordariomycetes; Glomerellales; Glomerellaceae.